RNAcentral lists this ribosomal RNA (509 nucleotides) under uncultured bacterium. RNAcentral describes it as "SSU rRNA". It matches the Rfam family "Eukaryotic small subunit ribosomal RNA", at positions 1252 to 1831 of the family's 1831-position model. The record is from RNAcentral.
GAUCUCUUUCUUGAUUCUAUGGGUGGUGGUGCAUGGCCGUUCUUAGUUGGUGGAGUGAUUUGUCUGGUUAAUUCCGAUAACGAACGAGACCUUAACCUGCUAACUAGUCUUGCUCAUUACAUGGGUACUGACUUCUUAGAGGGACUAUGUGUCGAAAAGCACAUGGAAGUUUGAGGCAAUAACAGGUCUGUGAUGCCCUUAUAUGUCCUGGGCUGCACGCGUGCUACACUGAUACAUACAACAAGUGCCUAGCCUGCUAAGGUGUGGCAAUCUCUAAUAUGUAUCGUGAUGGGGAUAGAUCUUUGCAAUUAUAGAUCUUGAACGAGGAAUUCCUAGUAAGUGCAAGUCAUCAUCUUGCAUUGAUUAUGUCCCUGCCCUUUGUACACACCGCCCGUCGCUCCUACCGAUACCGGGUGAUCCGGUGAACCUUUUGGACCGUUCGCGGAAAGAUAAGUAAACCUUAUCACCUAGAGGAAGGAGAAGUCGUAACAAGGUAACCAAUCACUAGU